This 328-nucleotide ribosomal RNA is filed under the name uncultured eukaryote. Its description in RNAcentral is "partial 18S ribosomal RNA". It matches the Rfam family "Eukaryotic small subunit ribosomal RNA", at positions 1470 to 1796 of the family's 1831-position model. The record is from RNAcentral.
CCCUUAGAUGUCCUGGGCCGCACGCGCGUUACACUGAUGCAUUCAACGAGCCUAUAACCUUGGCCGAGAGGCCUGGGCAAUCUUGGUAACGUGCAUCGUGAUAGGGAUAGAUUAUUGAAAUUAUUAAUCUUGAACGAGGAAUUCCUAGUAAACGCAGAUCAUCAAUCUGCAUUGAUUACGUCCCUGCCCUUUGUACACACCGCCCGUCGCACCUACCGAUUGGAUGGUCCGGUGAAGCCUCGGGAUUGUGGUUCUUGCCGCUUUAUUGUGGCGUGACCGCGAGAACUUGUCUAAACCUUAUCAUCUAGAGGAAGGUGAAGUCGUAACA